CCUGAAGGAGAAAGAGCUUCAGUUGUGGCUGUGGCCUCCAGUGAGAAGUGCAUUGAAGCAAAGUGGAAAACAAGGUGGAAGCAGCAUCUUCAGAAGGUAUUUACCAUGAGCAAGCUAGAACCACUUACCUAACAGUGCGAGGAAGAAACAGCAACUCUGGAGAAGUUUGGUGUGCGUCAUGGCCGCUGCAGGGGCUCAACAGAUGUGCCUGACUGAGCCCAGUCUGGACCGGUACUUAUAGGAGAUGGAGGGGGGUGUCUGUGUAAACACCAUAACGCGUGUCAAGUGUGAUGGGUUCUGAUGGCUGUAAAGCAUUACCCAAGGACUGCUCCUCACUUAUUGUCUGAGUCGAGGGCCCGGGAGCCAUGUCUGAACACUCUGCUUGGCGUCAUGAGCUGCCGCCAAACGCCAACACAGCCGCUUGCCUUGCUCGCUACCGUCCCGCUAGGAGAGGAAUUGAUUAUUUUGGCAUGAGCCGAGGAAAAGAAAAGGCAAGGCAGCCCAACGCCCAAGAUAGAAGAACAUGCGAAAAAAUAGCCUCAGAGCUGCAGCAAUAUGAACGGAACAAAAUGGAUGGUUUGGACACUGGAGGCCUCAUGAGGAUCUCAUGAAGGGAAACCAUGAUGAUUUAGACACCAAUCAAAAGAAGAGGCGGAGUCACCAUGAGCGGUGCGAUAUCAGGCAUGUUUUAAACAUUACGAAGAAGUUGGAACUGUUUUUUGGGCGGCCCCUGUCAAAGGAGUCAUAUUUUUUGAGGAUGUGAAGUUUUGCAGUCUGUCAUUUUCUGCUCCAUCAGUUUGAGUUAGAAAAAUGACUCCUUUCAUAAACUCAAGACGACAGGCCUUCGGAUAGCCAUGAUUCAUCUUGCCCUCUCCACAUGAAGAAUGAGACAUUGCCAUGCUUGUCUAACUAUUUUGAUGUUGCUUGGCUUCAGGUAAAUUUAGGAAAAAGGUUGCCUGCUAUGAGGGACGCUUUAUUAAGCGGGAGUAAAAUAAGAGAUCCUGGAACACCUUGGUAAUUGUAGUCUUUCAGCUGACCGCGCUGAUGCAUAAAUGGCAAGAGAAAUGUGAAAACUUUUCACACACACACACACAAAAACACUCACGGAAAAGGGAAGAAUCUGGAAAGCAUUUUUUUUUUGCCAACUCACAAGUCUAUUCAAUAAUCUGUCACGUUUAAAUGUGAAAGCAUAACCUCUAAAAAGUUGUAUUCUUCCAUAAAGCAAGGCACACAAGACAGAGUGAGAGAAGGACUGCACUGCCAAUAUGUCACACGGUAAAAAGCUUUAAAUUAGAGCCUGUAUACGCCUGUUGGAGGCUACAUUCAUCAUACUCAGUGCUGGUCUGGUUCUUACAAUUUUGGCAGUAAGAGCUUCCACAUGCCAAGAUUGCACUAGAGAGAGAGAGAGAGAGAAAGAGAGAGAGAGAGAGAGAGAGAGAGAGAGGGGAGAAGGGAAAAGGGGGAAGAAAAAAUCACAGGUUAUCAGCAGAAGUUUACAUGUCUUUAAUCAGUCUGCAGUUAAUUAGCGGCUUCCACACAAUGCAGCCACAAGUCAUUAAUCAUAGGAGCUGCGAGGCGAGCAGUCAGCCCAGCUCCAUCCAAGCAACAAAAGUUUUGUUUUCCAUGAAGGGGCCUGAGAGUGGAGUGGAGUGGCCUGGACUGGCUGGCGUUGCUUUCGCUCGCUCCCUCACUUUGCUUCAGUGUCGGAACAAUUGCACACAGGGUCCCAGGGCAAGGCACUUAUAGGGCCCCCUAUACAGCUUGCCAAGCUCACAAUAGGGCCCACACCACCAAUACGGGAGGGCCCUGGGCCCAGGGGCAAGUGCCCUGCUCGCCCUCCCUAUUGCUCCGCCCCUGCUUUGCUUGCUCCCUCCCGCCGCCAUUAGUCUGGGAAUGAAAGGCUGUGUUGCGGCAGGAGGCCUGACAGACAAGGCCCCACUGUUCAGCUCCCUGUUGGGCCCGGUUUGCCUGCCUGCCUGCCUGCCUGCCUCCCUGCCUGCCUGCCUGCCUGCCUGCCUGCCUGCCUGCCUGCCUGCCUGCCUGCCUGCCUGCCUGCCUGCCUGCCUGCCUGCCUGCCUGCCUGCCUGCCUGCCUGCCUGCCUGCCUGCCUGCCUGGGCUCCCCCCUCUGCACAAAAGAUGACUUCACCCCUUAAACAAAGCUUACACACACAAGCACAUGCGUGUGCACAAUCAUACUACACACACAGACACGCAUAUCCAUACCAUAACCACACUCUCACACGCAUGCACACAGAUUGACACGCACGGACUGAAGUAGGCAAACAGACAGAUAGGCAGGUCAACUGAUCGACAUAAGCAGACUUAUCAGUGUGUCACCUCAUGGUCCUUCCAAGACAACCCCUCCCGCCCCAACCACCACCACCCCAAUUAAACACACGCACACGCAGGCA
This is a long non-coding RNA of Engraulis encrasicolus (European anchovy), 2412 nucleotides long. RefSeq lists it as uncharacterized. NCBI's taxonomy places the organism in Eukaryota, Metazoa, Chordata, Actinopteri, Clupeiformes, Engraulidae. The record is from RefSeq and is a predicted model, not a curated record. The transcript is spliced from 5 exons.